RNAcentral lists this small RNA (361 nucleotides) under Pongo abelii (Sumatran orangutan). RNAcentral's name for it is "retained intron". Lineage: Eukaryota; Metazoa; Chordata; Mammalia; Primates; Hominidae. The record is from RNAcentral.
GGUGAUGCAAAUGAAGCUUCAUAUAGUUGCUUUGAUUGCCCAGAAGGGAAAUUUUUCCAAAACGUCAGCUCAGGUUGUAUUAGAUGGCCUUGUGGACAAGAUUGGAGAUGUGAAAUGUGGGAACAAUGCAAAAGAAGCUAUGACAGCAAUAGCCGAAGCCUGUAUGUUACCAUGGACUGCUGAACAGGUUGUGUCAAUGGCUUUCUCACAAAAGAAUCCCAAAAAUCAGUCAGAAACUCUGAAUUGGCUAUCAAAUGCCAUAAAAGAAUUUGGUUUUUCUGGGUAAGUCAGAACGAAAUCAAGUGGAAAAUAAUUAAAUGUUUUGUCAGUCUCUAAGUCGUGAUUUGUCAUAGCUAUUGCU